GAUGAACGCUAGCUACAGGCUUAACACAUGCAAGUCGAGGGGCAGCAGGGAUUUAGCUUGCUAAAUUCGCUGGCGACCGGCGCACGGGUGCGUAACGCGUAUCCAACUUUCCCGUUACUCUCGGAUAGCCUUCCGAAAGGGAGAUUAAUACGAGAUGGUGUUCAGUUUCCGCAUGUUUGCUGAACUAAAGAUUCAUCGGUAACGGAUAGGGAUGCGUGACAUUAGAUAGUUGGCGGGGUAACGGCCCACCAAGUCAACGAUGUCUAGGGGUUCUGAGAGGAAGGUCCCCCACACUGGAACUGAGACACGGUCCAGACUCCUACGGGAGGCAGCAGUGAGGAAUAUUGGUCAAUGGGCGCAGGCCUGAACCAGCCAAGUAGCGUGAAGGAUGAAGGUUCUAUGGAUUGUAAAACUUCUUUUAUACGGGAAUAACAUCACCUACGUGUAGGUGCCUGCAUGUACCGUAUGAAUAAGCAUCGGCUAACUCCGUGCCAGCA
This 497-nucleotide ribosomal RNA is filed under the name uncultured bacterium. Its description in RNAcentral is "bacterial SSU rRNA". It matches the Rfam family "Bacterial small subunit ribosomal RNA", at positions 28 to 513 of the family's 1533-position model. The record is from RNAcentral.